RNAcentral lists this ribosomal RNA (253 nucleotides) under uncultured bacterium. RNAcentral describes it as "partial 16S ribosomal RNA". It matches the Rfam family "Bacterial small subunit ribosomal RNA", at positions 524 to 776 of the family's 1533-position model. The record is from RNAcentral.
UACGUAGGGCGCAAGCGUUGUCCGGAAUUAUUGGGCGUAAAGAGCUCGUAGGCGGUCUGUUACGUCCGCUGUGAAAACCCAGGGCUUAACCCUGGGCUUGCAGUGGAUACGGGUAGACUAGAGGCAGGUAGGGGAGAAUGGAAUUCCCGGUGUAGCGGUGAAAUGCGCAGAUAUCAGGAGGAACACCGGUGGCGAAGGCGCCGCUCUGGGCCGGUACUGACGCUGAGGAGCGAAAGCGUGGGGAGCGAACAGG